This is a non-coding RNA of Desulfosporosinus lacus DSM 15449, 85 nucleotides long. The record is from Rfam. Lineage: Bacteria; Bacillati; Bacillota; Clostridia; Eubacteriales; Desulfitobacteriaceae.
UGCGAUAAGGGCAAACUCAGUGUGAACUGGGGACGCAAAGCCACGGGUCUCGCCUUAAGUGUGGGAGAUAGCCGGGUUACCGAAC